UACGUAGGCAGCGAGCGUUGUUCGGAGUUACUGGGCGUAAAGGGUGUGUAGGCGGGCUAGCAAGUGGUGUAUGAAAGCUCCCGGCUCAACCGGGAAGGGUUAUGCCAGACUGUUAGUCUUGAGUGCGAGAGAGGAGCGUGGAAUUCCGGGUGUAGUGGUGAAAUGCGUAGAGAUCCGGAGGAACCCCAGAGGCGAAGGCGGCGCUCUGGCUCGCAACUGACGCUCAGACACGACAGCAUGGGGAGCGAACGGG
Molecule: ribosomal RNA, 253 nt
Filed under: uncultured bacterium
Lineage: Bacteria
Description: partial 16S ribosomal RNA
Rfam family: Bacterial small subunit ribosomal RNA
Source: RNAcentral